ACAAACUUGGUCAUUUAGAGGAAGUAAAAGUCGUAACAAGGUAACCGUAGGUGAACCUGCGGUUGGAUCAUUACCGAAGAUCUAUAUUUGAUAUGGAGCAGAGGGGGGCGUCUUGUGGGGGUCUAAAUAUCCCUCUUGGCGGCUUUUCUCUUGAAAGAUGUGUCUGCGGCAGAUGCGAUAAAAUGUCGGCACUGAAGUCGUCCUCGUAAGAAAGGGGUGUUGGGUUCCUUGUCGGCCAUUUUGCAUCCAUCUUCCGGCACUUGUACGGAGGAUGUCAGGUUUUUACCCUGUUGCCGCCGAAGACUGCGUGUCCCUCUGGGGCAGCGGUCGCCUUUAUCCUUUCCGAGGAAAUACCUCUCUCUUCUUCCGUAUGGUGAAGAGAAAGACGAUGUGAUCGCAAAAACAAAUAAAAAACAACUUUUGACAACGGAUCUCUUGGCUCUCGCAUCGAUGAAGAACGCAGC
RNAcentral lists this unclassified non-coding RNA (464 nucleotides) under uncultured fungus. RNAcentral describes it as "partial contains small subunit ribosomal RNA, internal transcribed spacer 1, and 5.8S ribosomal RNA". The stretch from base 1 to 73 matches the Rfam family "Eukaryotic small subunit ribosomal RNA", at positions 1759 to 1831 of the family's 1831-position model. The record is from RNAcentral. Lineage: Eukaryota; Fungi.